Molecule: small nucleolar RNA, 211 nt
Organism: Phyllostomus discolor (pale spear-nosed bat)
Lineage: Eukaryota; Metazoa; Chordata; Mammalia; Chiroptera; Phyllostomidae
Product: small nucleolar RNA U3
Exons: 1
Source: RefSeq, a predicted model, not a curated record
UAGUCCCAGCAGUGGAAUUUCUGGAUAGUUCGUUACUAGAGAAGUUUCUUUGUAUGUGUAGAGCACCUGAAACCAUGAGGAGGAGGUGCAGUGUUCUCUUCUGAGCAUGAAAGCAUCUUUUGGUGUUACUUCUGCAACUGCCAAUAGCCAUUGAUGACCGUUCUUCUCUUCCUCUGGAAGAGUAAGAGGGAGAGAACAUAGUCUGAGUGGU